CCUACGGGUGGCUGCAGUGGGGAAUAUUGCACAAUGGGGGAAACCCUGAUGCAGCGACGCCGCGUGGGCGAGGAAGUACCUCGGUAUGUAAAGCCCUAUUAGCAGGGAAGAAAAUGACGGUACCUGAGUAAGAAGCCCCGGCUAACUACGUGCCAGCAGCCGCGGUAAUAUGUAGGGGGCAAGCGUUAUCCGGAUUUACUGGGCGUAAAGGGAGCGUAGACGGCAGUGCAAGUCUGGAGUGAAAGGCGGGGGCUCAACCCCCGGACUGCUCUGGAAACUGUACGGCUGGAGUGCAGGAGAGGUAAGUGGAAUGCGUAGUGUAGCGGUGAAAUGCGUAGAUAUUGGGCGGAACACCAGUGGCGAAGGCAGCUUACUGGACUGUAACUGACGUUGAGGCUCGAAAGCGUGGGGAGCGAACAGGAUUAGAUACCCUUGUAGUC
RNAcentral lists this ribosomal RNA (440 nucleotides) under uncultured bacterium. RNAcentral describes it as "partial 16S ribosomal RNA". It matches the Rfam family "Bacterial small subunit ribosomal RNA", at positions 338 to 795 of the family's 1533-position model. The record is from RNAcentral.